GACGAACGCUGGCGGCGUGCUUAACACAUGCAAGUCGAACGAAGUGGCGAACGGGUGAGUAACGCGUAAUCAACUUGCCCUUCAGAGGGGGACAACAGUUGGAAACGACUGCUACUACCCCAUACGGAUGGAGGGGAUUGCGUCGGAUUGGCUAGUUGGAGGGGUAACGGCCCACCAAGGCGAGGAUCAGUAGGCGGUCUGAGAGGAUGAACGGCCACAUUGGGACUGAGACACGGGCCAGACUCCUACGGGAGGCAGCAGGGGGGAAUCUUCCGCAAUGGACGAAAGUCUGACGAAGCAACGCCGCGGGAGUGAUGACGGCCUUCGGGUUGGAAAGCUCUGUUAAUCGGGACGCGGUACCGGAAUAGAAAGCCACGGCUAACUACGUGCCAGCAGCCGCGGUAAUAC
Molecule: ribosomal RNA, 408 nt
Filed under: uncultured bacterium
Lineage: Bacteria
Description: partial 16S ribosomal RNA
Rfam family: Bacterial small subunit ribosomal RNA
Source: RNAcentral